UGGGGAAUUUUGGACAAUGGGCGAAAGCCUGAUCCAGCCAUGCCGCGUGAGUGAAGAAGGCCUUCGGGUUGUAAAGCUCUUUUAGUCGGAAAGAAAGAGUUGCAAUGAAUAAUUGUGAUUUAUGACGGUACCGACAGAAAAAGCACCGGCUAACUACGUGCCAGCAGCCGCGGUAAUACGUAGGGUGCGAGCGUUAAUCGGAAUUACUGGGCGUAAAGGGUGCGCAGGCGGUUUUGCAAGUCAGUUGUGAAAGCACCGGGCUUAACCUGGGAAUUGCGUUUGAAACUACAAGACUAGAGUGCAGCAGAGGGGAGUGGAAUUCCAUGUGUAGCAGUGAAAUGCGUAGAGAUGUGGAAGAACACCGAUGGCGAAGGCAGCUCCCUGGGUUGACACUGACGCUCAUGCACGAAAGCGUGGGGAGCAAACA
RNAcentral lists this ribosomal RNA (427 nucleotides) under uncultured beta proteobacterium. Its description in RNAcentral is "bacterial SSU rRNA". It matches the Rfam family "Bacterial small subunit ribosomal RNA", at positions 355 to 774 of the family's 1533-position model. Lineage: Bacteria; Pseudomonadati; Pseudomonadota; Betaproteobacteria. The record is from RNAcentral.